AACGAACGCUGGCGGCAGGCUUAACACAUGCAAGUCGAACGCUCCGCAAGGAGAGUGGCAGACGGGUGAGUAACACGUGGGAACGUACCCUUUACUACGGAACAACUCCGGGAAACUGGAGCUAAUACCGUAUGUGCCCUUUGGGGGAAAGAUCUGAUCGGUAAAGGAACGGCCCGCGUUGGAUUAGCUAGGUGGUGGGGUAAAGGCCUACCAAGGCGACGAUCCAUAGCUGGUCUGAGAGGAUGAUCAGCCACAUUGGGACUGAGACACGGCCCAAACUGCUACGGGAGGCAGCAGUGUGGAAUAUUGGACAAUGGGCGCAGGCCUGAUCCAGCCAUGCCGCGUGUGUGAUGAACGCCUUAGGGUUGUAAAGCACUUUCACCGGAGAAGAUAAUGACGGUAUCCGGAGAAGAAGCCCCGGCUAACUUCGUGCCAGCCGCCGCUGUAA
Molecule: ribosomal RNA, 448 nt
Filed under: uncultured bacterium
Lineage: Bacteria
Description: partial 16S ribosomal RNA
Rfam family: Bacterial small subunit ribosomal RNA
Source: RNAcentral